Long non-coding RNA from Eptesicus fuscus (big brown bat), 974 nucleotides. RefSeq lists it as uncharacterized. Lineage: Eukaryota; Metazoa; Chordata; Mammalia; Chiroptera; Vespertilionidae. The record is from RefSeq and is a predicted model, not a curated record. The transcript has 3 exons.
AUUCGUUCCACACUCAGAGCUAUUGCCAAACUCUGUGGUGAAUGCCAUACACUCUCACUGUUGCCCAGUGAUGGCAAACCUAUGACACGAGUGUCAGCACUGACACGCGUAGCCAUUUCUGAUGACACGUGGCCGCAUGCCGAGGAUGAAACAUUUGCUGCUCCUGAGGAUGAAACAUUUGCGACUAGAGUCUUGGAUGGAUAUGCAGCACCUGUUCCAAGGGUCGGAGCAGAUCUCCCCCUUCCUCUCACCGCCAUGGCAGAAAAAGAGUCUGCAGGUUCCGUGCUGCAUCAUGCAGAUAAUAUUCCGAAUUCCAGGAGGGAUGUCGCCUGUGGAUAUGAUAGAAGAGAGCUGACAUUUCCUUCACACAGAGAAUGAAGGCGGAGCCCGGCCCGCAGCCCAACUCCAGGUGGUGACUGUGUUCUCACAGCGUUGACUUUCUCGGGACAAGCUCCAGGCUGCCUGAGCUCCGGUUUCCCAGCUUUAAAAGAGGAACAAUAAGCUCAAAGUGUUGCCUGGACUUGUCCAUUUUAUUCCAGGUUAUUAGGGUCUGACUGACUCCAACCUUCCUGGGGACGGUGUGAGCUCACCCAUUAGGGAGGGAAAAGAGAGUUGGGGUGACCAGAGUGGAAGAAUGGAGGGUGGGUCUUGGUCACCAGGAAACUUGGAAAUAGUUCUGACCCUCAGUUUGUGGCCCAAUUUUCAGUUUUAUAUCCUACAAUGAAAGACAUAAAAUAAAGCCUCUCUCCUCACCCUAACUUGUGUGUGUGUAGGUCAGGCACAAGCACCUUAUGUCCCCAUUAGGAAAACAUUUCAUAUUUGUCACAAGAAAAAAAAAUUGUAGCUAUGUGAAGCAAUGGAUGUUAAAGAGACAUGUGUGGUUAAUAUUUCACAAUAUACACAAAUAGCAAAUCAUUGCAUUGUACACCUGAAACUAAUAUAAUGUUAUAGGUCAAUUAUCCUCAAGAAUAAUA